RNAcentral lists this unclassified non-coding RNA (259 nucleotides) under Stereum sanguinolentum. Its description in RNAcentral is "partial internal transcribed spacer region". The stretch from base 1 to 46 matches the Rfam family "Eukaryotic small subunit ribosomal RNA", at positions 1786 to 1831 of the family's 1831-position model. The record is from RNAcentral. Lineage: Eukaryota; Fungi; Basidiomycota; Agaricomycetes; Russulales; Stereaceae.
AAGUCGUAACAAGGUUUCCGUAGGUGAACCUGCGGAAGGAUCAUUAAUGAAAUUUAUGACUGGAGCUGUAGCUGGCCCUUAAAAACGGCAUGUGCACGCUCCUUUCACUAAUCCACACACACCUGUGCACCUUCGCGGGGGUCUUCUUUUCGGAGAAGGCUCGCGUCCCUUUACACACCCUUUGUAUGUCUUAAGAAUGUCUACUCGAUGUAAUAAAACGCAUCUAAUACAACUUUCAACAACGGAUCUCUUGGCUCUC